GUGGGGAAUUUUGGACAAUGGGCGAAAGCCUGAUCCAGCAAUGCCGCGUGCAGGAUGAAGGCCCUCGGGUUGUAAACUGCUUUUGUACGGAACGAAAAGCCUGGGGCUAAUAUCCCCGGGUCAUGACGGUACCGUAAGAAUAAGCACCGGCUAACUACGUGCCAGCAGCCGCGGUAAUACGUAGGGUGCAAGCGUUAAUCGGAAUUACUGGGCGUAAAGCGUGCGCAGGCGGUUUUGUAAGACAGUGGUGAAAUCCCCGGGCUCAACCUGGGAACUGCCAGUGUGACUGCAAAGCUAGAGUGCGGCAGAGGGGGAUGGAAUUCCGCGUGUAGCAGUGAAAUGCGUAGAUAUGCGGAGGAACACCGAUGGAGAAGGCAAUCCCCUGGGCCUGCACUGACGCUCAUGCACGAAAGCGUGGGGAGCAAACAGGAUUAGAUACCCCAGUAGUCC
Molecule: ribosomal RNA, 450 nt
Filed under: uncultured bacterium
Lineage: Bacteria
Description: partial 16S ribosomal RNA
Rfam family: Bacterial small subunit ribosomal RNA
Source: RNAcentral